Molecule: long non-coding RNA, 1709 nt
Organism: Biomphalaria glabrata
Lineage: Eukaryota; Metazoa; Mollusca; Gastropoda; Planorbidae
Exons: 3
Source: RefSeq, a predicted model, not a curated record
AGUCAAUAAAUAAAAGAAACUGAUGUUGUAAUAAUACAAUGUGUGUGUGUGUGUGUUUGGUUGAGUAUUUAAAUAUGUGUUCUUGAUUUGAAAUUCAAAAAGGCAUCGCUUGAAAUCGAAGAGAAAGUUUGAGAUGUGAAAUAGCUUCUGCUGUUGAAGGAAUUCAAAGUUGGCAUUGACUAAAAAUGUCAAGAUUACAUGAUAUUUCAAGUUUUAUCUUCAAAUACCUGUCUGCAGGUUUAAAAGGAACUAAAGAAAGUCUACUAUCUACAGCUUCUUUGUAUUUGCAACACUCUCUGCCUGGACACAGCAACGUGGAGGACAAGGCUCUUCCAAAAACAGGGGACACCCCUCAGAAUGUAGAUCUGAAUGAGUUUUACCUACGUUACACAGAACAUUGCAGAGAACUGGAGAAAUAUGGCGCCUACUAUUGAAAUUAUAUGUCAAUUAUUAUGAAACUUGUGCAUGUAUGUGGAAGGUCAGCUUAGUAAAUGUUUAUGCAUUUAAAGUAACUGGUUGGUACUUGUAUUUUCUUUUUAAGCAUUUUCAUAUAGUAAACAAAGUCUUUCUAUAUUUUGUUCAGCUAAUUUAGCUAAUUCGAAGAUUAUGUAAAAAAAAAGAAAAGAAAAAAAAAUUCCCUUUCAGACCGAUCAUCUAUAGGGCAGAUGAUAUAAAGGUCAUCUGUUUCUGUGCUCUACGGUUAACGAGGGUUUCAUGUGGCCAGCACAAAGAACAACUUCCUUUACUUUUCCCCAACUAUUGGAGCUGGGUGGACUUAUAGGCGCCCGAAGAUCUCGCAAUUAAAAAUCCCAGUUUUUACCAGGAUUUGAACCCGGGGCCCUAGUUUCAGAAGCCAAGCGCUUUACCGCUAAGCCAAUGCGCCUCUAAUUAGAUUAUGUAAUUUAAAUUAAAUUUUUAUGGUAAUUAAAAACAUUUUUUUCUCCAAUUUCUAUGACCCCAUUAUUGUUUUUUGAUUUAUAUUGAAUGAUAAUAGUUCACAUUUUGAGUUCAGAAUUUUUAUUGUUUUCAUUAUUAUUGUCUUAGUGAGGUAAUAAGAUUGGGACUUCAUUAUUUCUAAAAAUAUUAUUAAAAACAUUAAUGUUUGACUGUUGUUUUUUAUUUGUAGUUCACAUGUUAGAGUCAGAAUGUAGUCUUAUUUGUAUAGCUCACACAUUAGAAUUAGACUGUAAACUGCUAUUAAGGUUAUGGUUAGAUUUAUACUAGAUUUUAUAGUCAAGACAUACAUUCAGAAUGUUGUUGUUUUUUUUUGUUAUAAUAGUGCAAUUAAUAUAUAUAUAUAUAUAUAUAUAUAUAUAUAUAUAUAUAUAUAUAUAUAUAUAUAUAUAUAUAUAUAUAUAUAUAAUAGUAUGACUCAUGUCUUGACUGCUUAUUAGAAGUGUGACAACAACCCUCCCUCCCCGCCAUUAGAUGUUUCAAGAACUAUCCGAUGAUAUUGUAAAACAUUGUAAGAUCUAUUCCAUACUUAUUUCACAGUUAUGUGUAUUUAGAUCUAAAUCUCACAAAUCAGGCAGCAUUUAAAAAAAUAUCUUAAAUCUAGCUGUGUUCAUCAAUAUGUAUUCUUAAUGACAGAAAUGUUUCCUGAAUGAACUCACAAAACACAUGUAUACAAUACUGUAUAACUACAAGGGUGUGUCUAUAAUGAAUGGAUUUGUUUAGAGCUACAAAACAAUAAAAAUAGAUUGAGAUCA